This 240-nucleotide unclassified non-coding RNA is filed under the name soil metagenome. RNAcentral's name for it is "partial contains 5.8S ribosomal RNA, internal transcribed spacer 2, and large subunit ribosomal RNA". The record is from RNAcentral.
AAGACUAUAGACCUGCGGAGUACCUGCGGAGGGAUCAUUACCGAGUUAGGGUAGUCACUCACUGCCCGACCUCCCAACCCUGUGUCUACCACACUUUGUCGUUGCUUCGGCGGACCGGUUGACCAACUGGCCGUGACCGCCGGGGGCUGGCUCUGUCCCCCCUGGAGAGCGUCCGUCGAUGGCCCAACCACAAAACUCUUGUACCGAAACGUGUCGUCUGAAUUAUAUUUGAGAAAUCAA